Non-coding RNA from Acanthosepion pharaonis, 95 nucleotides. The record is from the annotation of a GenBank genome assembly. NCBI's taxonomy places the organism in Eukaryota, Metazoa, Mollusca, Cephalopoda, Sepiida, Sepiidae.
CCUUGAAACACCGGUUCUCGUUCGAUCACCGAAGUUAAGCAUCGUAGAGCCAGGUCAGUACUUAGAUGGGGGACCGCUUGGGAACACCACAUUUU